GAUAAACGCUGGCGGCGUGCAUAACACAUGCAAGUCGAACGAUGAAACUUAGCUGAUUUCUUCGGAAUGAAAAUAAGUGGAUUAGUGGCGAACGGGUGAGUAACACGUGAGUAACCUGCCUUACACAAGGGGAUAGCCUUUGGAAACGAAGAAUAAUACCCUAUAACGUCAAAAUAUCGCAUGAUAAAGUGACCAAAGAUUUAUCGGUGUAAGAUGGACUUGCGUCUGAUUAGCUAGUUGGUGAGAUAAAAGCCCACCAAGGCGACGAUCAGUAGCCGGCUUGAGAGAGUGUACGGCCACAUUGGGACUGAGACACGGCCCAAACUCCUACGGGAGGCAGCAGUGGGGAAUUUUGCACAAUGGGGGAAACCCUGAUGCAGCGACGCCGCGUGAUUUAGAAGGCCUUCGGGUUGUAAAAAUCUUUUUUAUGGGAUGAAAAUGACAGUACCAUAAGAAUAAGGUCCGGCUAAAUACGUGCCAGCAGCCGCGGUAAUACGUAUGGACCGAGCGUUGUCCGGAAUCAUUGGGCGUAAAGGGUACGUAGGCGGCCUAGUAAGUUAGAAGUGAAAUAAUAUAGCUCAACUAUAUAAAGCUUUUAAAACUGUUAGGCUUGAGAGAUGAAAGGGAAAGUGGAAUUCCUAGUGUAGCGGUGAAAUGCGCAGAUAUUAGGAAGAAUACCGGUGGCGAAGGCGACUUUCUGGUCAUCAUCUGACGCUGAGGUACGAAAGCGUGGGUAGCAAACAGG
This 745-nucleotide ribosomal RNA is filed under the name uncultured Anaerococcus sp. Its description in RNAcentral is "bacterial SSU rRNA". It matches the Rfam family "Bacterial small subunit ribosomal RNA", at positions 28 to 776 of the family's 1533-position model. Lineage: Bacteria; Bacillati; Bacillota; Tissierellia; Tissierellales; Peptoniphilaceae. The record is from RNAcentral.